CCUUGGCUGGAAAGGGUACACAGCUCAGCAGCACUUACUCCAUACUGCAUACGGGCACCAAGCGAAUAGUAAAAAAACAGAGAAACAUACACACAUACAAACAUCCACACACAGUUUGGUAGUGCUAAAAGUUGUGUAAAUUAAUGGAGACUUGAGAAUUUAGACAAUAAAAACAUCUGUGAAUAAUUAAUUAAUUACAAAUGCAACUUAAACAAAAGGAAAUUGAAGAGUGUUCGAUACGAUAAAGAAAGCAACAAAAACUUAUACAAAAACAAAAAGAAAAACAAGAAAAACAUACAAUAAACGCACUGAACUUUGAAAUAAAUGCAAAAAAAGAAAGGAAAAACUUUGUCUACGUCUGCGUUUGGACUUGGACUUGGUCUCUAUGUUACUGCGUAAGGAGCGUAGAGGAGCGUAGCCACGGUGUGUAAAGCACACGCACGCAUACGAACUCGCAAAAGUACACACACACACUCCAUUUUCUACAUCACUUCGUGCCUGUGCAUCUGCCUAGCGGCUCAGCACCUGCCCCCAGCCUCAGACUCAACCUCAGUGCGCCGCAGUGCCAACCAGCCAGCGUCGGAUUGAGAUUCAGUAACAGUAAAACAGCAUCAGCAUUAGCGGCGUCAGCUCCCCCAAACUUUGUGCGCGCUGCCAACAUCAAACGGUCGCGCGCUCAGUGUUCAUUAUACAAAAGAGAGUUACUGCUGCUGCUACAGCUGCGUGUGUGUGUGUGUGUAUUGCUGACUGAGUGCUGUUCGGAGUUGUGCUUGUAUAUACUGCUGCCUUCACCCCAAAAUCUCUUAUUGAUUUUGGAUUCAAACACACACUCCGCCGUCGUUGUCGUCCUCGUCCUCGUCCUCGUCGUCAUCAUCAUCGUCGUUGUUGGUGUCGUGUGUUGCUGUAGCUGACUGCUAACGAGAGAGGCAGCCGCCACAAAAUUCAACAUACAGCAGCCAGCAAACGCAUACAGUGUUUGUUGCAACGAGCUUGGCGCACGGCCGGGCAGUCAAAGUUGGGUACGACGUUGAGCGGCGUGGCGCGAAGCAAAGAAGUGUGGCAAGCUUGUACGGUACUGUCGCACGCCCACCCGCUAACCGCUCAUCCAGCCAGUCAGGCAAGCAGUCAGUGAGCCAACCAGCCGUGAAGAUGCUAGCAAUAUUGUAAACACGCAUGCUUACAAAAUUUAUUUAUACGAAAU
Long non-coding RNA from Bactrocera tryoni, 1201 nucleotides. RefSeq lists it as uncharacterized. Lineage: Eukaryota; Metazoa; Arthropoda; Insecta; Diptera; Tephritidae. The transcript has 3 exons. The record is from RefSeq and is a predicted model, not a curated record.